Molecule: unclassified non-coding RNA, 363 nt
Filed under: soil metagenome
Description: partial contains 5.8S ribosomal RNA, internal transcribed spacer 2, and large subunit ribosomal RNA
Rfam family: 5.8S ribosomal RNA (bases 1-121)
Source: RNAcentral
GAUGAAGAACGUAGUGAAUUGCGAUAAGUAAUGUGAAUUGCAGAUUUUCAGUGAAUCAUCGAAUCUUUGAACGCACCUUGCGCUCCUUGGUAUUCCGAGGAGCAUGCCUGUUUGAGUGUCAUUAAUAUAUCAACCUUCUCUUUUUUGAGUUGUUUGGAUGUGGGGGUUUGCUGGCCUCUUAAAUGAUUCAGCUCCCCUGAAAUGCAUUAGCAGAACAACCUGUUCAUUGGCGUGAUAAUUAUCUAUGCUAUUGAAUGUGAGGGCAGUUCAGCUUUCUAACCGUCCUUGGACAAUUCAUCAUUAAUGUGACCUCAAAUCAGGUAGGACUACCCGCUGAACUUAAGCAUAUCAAUAAGCGGAGGA